AGUCAACAUGCCCAGGGGACGCGGAUAACCUCGGGAAACUGAGGAUAAACCGCGAUAGGCCAUGAUUUCUGGAAUGGUUCAUGGCCGAAAUCUAUAUGGCCCCUGGAUUGGACUGCGGCCGAUCAGGCUGUUGGUGAGGUAAUGGCCCACCAAACCUGUAACCGGUACGGGCUCUGAGAGGAGGAGCCCGGAGAUGGGCACUGAGACAAGGGCCCAGGCCCUAUGGGGCGCAGCAGGCGCGAAAUCUCUGCAAUAGGCGAAAGCUUGACAGGGUUACUCUGAGUGAUUCCCGCUAAGGGGAUCUUUUGGCACCUUUAAAAAUGGUGCAGAAUAAGGGGUGGGCAAGUCUGGUGUCAGCCGCCGCGGUAAUACCAGCACCCCGAGUGGUCGGGACGAUUAUUGGGCCUAAAGCAUCCGUAGCCGGUACUGCAAGUCUUCCGUUAAAUCCACCUGCUUAACAAUUGGGCUGCGGGGGAUACUACAGCGCUUGGAGGCGGG
RNAcentral lists this ribosomal RNA (498 nucleotides) under uncultured archaeon. RNAcentral's name for it is "bacterial SSU rRNA". It matches the Rfam family "Archaeal small subunit ribosomal RNA", at positions 102 to 603 of the family's 1478-position model. The record is from RNAcentral.